RNA transcript from Myotis myotis, 2120 nucleotides. It is a transcript of the gene named sulfatase modifying factor 2, with no coding region annotated. The record is from RefSeq and is a predicted model, not a curated record. Lineage: Eukaryota; Metazoa; Chordata; Mammalia; Chiroptera; Vespertilionidae. The transcript is spliced from 10 exons.
AGAAAAUUGCUUUUUCUUAACCUGACCCCACCCCUUCCUGGGCUGGACUAAUUACGCCCUCGGGUUGCCAAUAUCUAGAGGAUGCGCCAGGGGGCAGUGUGCGCCGGGACGUAGUGCGUGUGGAGCGCAUGCGCAGCAGAGCGAGUAGGCGUGUGUACCCAGUUCCUGGUGCUGCGGAGCUAUGAGCUCUUCACUGCUGUUGACCCUGCUGUCGCUCCUGUCCGGCCCGUGGAUCGAGCUAGGGAAUGGGCAGGUGACAAGCAUGGUUAAGCUGCCAGGUGGCAGAUUCCAGAUGGGAACAAAUUCACCAGAUGGCAGAGAUGGUGAAGGACCUGUCCGGGAGGUGACAGUAAAACCUUUUGCCAUCGACAUAUUUCCUGUCACCAACAAAGAUUUCAGGUAUAUCAGGGAGUUUGUCAGGGAGAAAAAGUACCGGACAGAGGCCGAGACGUUUGGGUGGAGCUUUGUCUUUGAGGACUUUGUCUCAGAUGAGCUUAGAAACAAAGCGACUCAGCAAAUGAAGCCUGUUCUCUGGUGGCUUCCAGUGGAAAGGGCUUUCUGGAGGCAGCCCGCAGGUCCCGGCUCUGGCAUCCGAGAGAGACUGGAGCUCCCAGUGGUACACGUGAGCUGGAAUGAUGCGCGGGCCUACUGUGCAUGGCAGGGGAAACGGCUGCCUACUGAGGAAGAGUGGGAGUUUGCGGCCCGAGGGGGCUUAAAGGGUCAGGUUUAUCCCUGGGGAAACAAGUUCCAGCCAAACCGCACCAACCUGUGGCAGGGAAAGUUCCCCAAGGGUGACAAGGCUGAGGACGGCUUCCAUGGGGUCUCCCCAGUGAACGCGUUCCCCCCACAGAAUAACUAUGGGCUCUAUGACCUCGUGGGCAACGUGUGGGAGUGGACAGCUUCACCAUACCAGGGUGCAAACCAGGAUAUGCGUGUCCUCCGGGGGGCAUCCUGGAUCGACACAUCCGAUGGCUCUGCCAAUCACCGGGCCCGGGUCACCACCAGGUCGAUGCUCAACCACUGAGCCACGUUGGCUGGGCAACUAUGGGGAUGACUUCAGUGUGCCAGGAAAAGCAUGUGGGCUCUGUAUGCAACUCUGAGCUCUUUGGACCAUCACACCUUGGAUAUAAGGGGCAAUUAACACUAUGAGCCUCCAGGAAAAUGGGCAAAGGAGACCACUGACGAGCCCAGGAGGAACUAUGUUAGAGGACUCGCCAGGAGUGAAUUAUCUGUGGUCAUUCAGAUGCUCAGGGUAAGGCAGUCUUGGCCCCUUUCAGGAACUGAAUGAUUUGGUAGAAAAGGGCACUCCAAGAACAGCUGAGGACAGGAGGCAGCAACUGAGUAAUUCACUCAUUCAACAUCAACUCACCCUGUAGUAAGAGGUCUCUAAGACUUAAGAGGGCGGAAACCAGAUAACAGAACCUAUGAAAGGUACAUUUAAAAACUGAGAAAGUGCGAGAGCAUAAUGUAGACUUGGAGAUCAACUCGUAAAAUUUUUAGUUCUUUGAGGUUUGGAGCUUGGUUAGCAAAAAUGGUGCACCUCAAAUUGAGUCCACCUAAAGACAAUUGCAGCUCACCUGCGUCUUUCAUGAAGUGGGAGCUACAAUGCCUAAAAUUAGAAAAACAUCUAUAGGGGAACUGCGUGUAUUAAGAGAAUGGUUUUCACCUCUGAUCAAACUAAUUGGAUAUUCUAGGGCAGUGGUCGGCAAACUCAUUAGUCAACAGAGCCAAAUAUCAACAGUACAAUGAUUGAAAUUUCUUUUGAGAGCCAAAUUUUGUAAACUUAAUCUAUAUAGGUAGGUACAUUGUUAUUAAGUUAAUUAGGGUACUCCUAAGGGGCCAAAGAGCCGCAUGUGCCUCGCGAGCCCCAGUUUGCCGAGCACUGUCUAGGGAACAGUGACAAAUAGUGCUCACAGGGAACCCACUUACUCUUCACCCGAUUAGAACAUUAGUAUUUUAAAGUUUCUUGUUACUGCUCAGUUUAUUGAACACUGGCUCCGAAGGCUUAUAGUACCUGGAACCUUUUUAAUGGGCAACAUGUUUGCUAGUGAACUACUCCUUACAUAACUAUUUCCCUACAAAAGUUUCUCAGGGAGCUUUACCAGGACCUCUGGGUGGAU